GACGAACGCUGGCGGCGUGCUUAACACAUGCAAGUCGAACGGUAAGGCCCUUCGGGGUACACGAGUGGCGAACGGGUGAGUAACACGUGGGUGAUCUGCCCUGCACUUCGGGAUAAGCCUGGGAAACUGGGUCUAAUACCGGAUAGGACCACUGCCUGCAUGGGUGGUGGUGGAAAGCUUUUGCGGUGUGGGAUGGGCCCGCGGCCUAUCAGCUUGUUGGGGGGGUGAUGGCCUACCAAGGCGACGACGGGUAGCCGGCCUGAGAGGGUGACCGGCCACACUGGGACUGAGAGACGGCACAGACUCCUACGGGAGGCAGCAGUGGGGAAUAUUGCACAAUGGGCGCAAGCCUGAUGCAGCGACGCCGCGUGAGGGAUGACGGCCUUCGGGUUGUAAACCUCUUUCAGCACCGACGAAGCGCAAGUGACGGUAGGUGCAGAAGAAGGACCGGCCAACUACGUGCCAGCCGCCGCGGUAA
Molecule: ribosomal RNA, 478 nt
Filed under: uncultured bacterium
Lineage: Bacteria
Description: partial 16S ribosomal RNA
Rfam family: Bacterial small subunit ribosomal RNA
Source: RNAcentral